AGCGAACGCUAGCGGCGGGCCUAACACAUGCAAGUCGAGCGGAGAACUUCGGUUCUUAGCGGCGGACGGGUGAGUAACGCGUAGGUAAUGUGCCUUCUGGUGGGGAACAACCGUGCGAAAGCAUGGCUAAUACCGCAUAUGUCGAGAGAUGAAAGCCUUCGGGCGCCAGUAGAGCAGCCUGCGUCCCAUUAUUUAGUCCUAGUUGGUGAGGUAACGGCUCACCAAGGGUACGAUGGGUAGCUGGUCUGAGAGGAUGAUCAGCCACACUGGAACUGAGACACGGUCCAGACUCCUACGGGAGGCAGCAGUGGGGAAUAUUGCGCAAUGGGCGAAAGCCUGACGCAGCCACGCCGCGUGAGUGAUGAAGGCCU
RNAcentral lists this ribosomal RNA (371 nucleotides) under uncultured bacterium. RNAcentral's name for it is "bacterial SSU rRNA". It matches the Rfam family "Bacterial small subunit ribosomal RNA", at positions 29 to 417 of the family's 1533-position model. The record is from RNAcentral.